RNAcentral lists this ribosomal RNA (516 nucleotides) under uncultured bacterium. RNAcentral describes it as "bacterial SSU rRNA". It matches the Rfam family "Bacterial small subunit ribosomal RNA", at positions 36 to 561 of the family's 1533-position model. The record is from RNAcentral.
CUGGCGGCGUGCUUACACAUGCAAGUCUAACGAGAACGGCUCUAGCUUGCUAGAGUGUCAGCUAAGUGGCGGACGGGUGAGUAAUGUAUAGUUAAUUUGCCCCUUGGAGAGGGAUAACAGUUGGAAACGACUGCUAAUACCUCAUACUCCUUCUGUAUUAAUUACAGUUGGGAAAUGUUUUUUCGCCAAGGGAUCGGGCUAUAUGGUAUCAGGUAGUUGGUGGGGUAAGAGCCUACCAAGCCAAUGACGCCUAGCUGGUCUGAGAGGAUGAUCAGCCACACUGGAACUGAGACACGGUCCAGACUCCUACGGGAGGCAGCAGNGGGGAAUAUUGCACAAUGGAGGAAACUCUGAUGCAGCAACGCCGCGUGGAGGAUGACGCAUUUCGGUGUGUAAACUCCUUUUAUAUAGGAAGAUAAUGACGGUACUAUAUGAAUAAGCACCGGGCUAACUCCGUGGCCAGCAGCCGCGGGUAAUACGGAGGGGNGCAAGCCGUUACUCGGAAUCACUGGGCGU